AAUCAACGCUGGCGGCGUGCCUAACACAUGCAAGUCGAACGAGAAAGGCGGGGGCAACCCUGCAAGUAAAGUGGCAGACGGGUGAGUAACACGUGAACAAUCUACCCUCGAGUGGGGAAUAACGCCGCGAAAGCGGCGCUAAUACCGCAUAACAUCCCUCGGCCGCAUGGCUGGGGGAUCAAAAGCGCAAGUUGCUUGAGGAGGAGUUCGCGCCUGAUUAGCUAGUUGGUGAGGUAACGGCCCACCAAGGCGACGAUCAGUAGCCGGCCUGAGAGGGCGAACGGCCACACUGGAACUGAGACACGGUCCAGACUCCUACGGGAGGCAG
RNAcentral lists this ribosomal RNA (328 nucleotides) under uncultured Acidobacteriota bacterium. Its description in RNAcentral is "bacterial SSU rRNA". It matches the Rfam family "Bacterial small subunit ribosomal RNA", at positions 32 to 351 of the family's 1533-position model. Lineage: Bacteria; Pseudomonadati; Acidobacteriota. The record is from RNAcentral.